Molecule: transfer RNA, 91 nt
Filed under: Planctomycetaceae bacterium
Lineage: Bacteria; Pseudomonadati; Planctomycetota; Planctomycetia; Planctomycetales; Planctomycetaceae
Also listed under: 1 other name
Description: tRNA-Ser
Rfam family: tRNA
About the family: Transfer RNA (tRNA) molecules are approximately 80 nucleotides in length.
Source: RNAcentral
GGAGAGGUGACCGAGCGGCUGAAGGUGCACGCUUGGAAAGCGUGUGUACGUCACAAGCGUACCGCGGGUUCGAAUCCCGCCCUCUCCGCCA